CUACAUUACUAGGCACCCAUAUUAUAGAUGCGAAAGUGGUUUGUUUGUUGGUUUGUCCCUCAAUCACGUCGCAACGGAGCAACGGAUCUACGUGGAUUUUUACAUGGGUAUAGAUAAAGACCUUGAGAAAGACAUAAGCUACUUUUUAUCCCGGAAAAUCAAGGAGUUCCCACGGGAUU
Long non-coding RNA from Maniola jurtina (meadow brown), 179 nucleotides. RefSeq lists it as uncharacterized. NCBI's taxonomy places the organism in Eukaryota, Metazoa, Arthropoda, Insecta, Lepidoptera, Nymphalidae. The transcript is spliced from 2 exons. The record is from RefSeq and is a predicted model, not a curated record.